Mytilus trossulus (common blue mussel) is the source of this 1637-nucleotide long non-coding RNA. RefSeq lists it as uncharacterized. The transcript has 6 exons. The record is from RefSeq and is a predicted model, not a curated record. NCBI's taxonomy places the organism in Eukaryota, Metazoa, Mollusca, Bivalvia, Mytilida, Mytilidae.
UAUAGCCAUUAUAUAGAUUUUCAACAAUGCCAGACUCAGAGUAUAUACAGUCAGGACAAAAAGAAUUUACAAGACUAUCCACAACCCUCUCAUCUUGAUGAAUUGUUAAACCACAGAAACUUAAAGAAGACCUACAGAUAACCUAGGAUGUACAGUAUAAAGAACACCUACAGAAACCUAGGCUGCAUAGUAUAUACCACAAUGUAAAAGGAUCGGCAAGUUGCGUUCAUCUAUUAGGAACCCAAAAAUUGAGCAAUGACCUUAAAGAGUAAGCCAUGUGUACAGUAAGAUAUCCAUCUUUGUAGUUACCAAAGAGUGGGGGUAAGAACCUAGUCUAUCAUUAUACAUGGGGGUAAAGUGACUUCAAAGAAUUGAAAUAAGAGUUUUUACAGAGGAUAUAGGUAUACCGUAUUUUUAAUUUUUUUUGGUCCUGUUUGUAAGUUUGUCAUAAAGAAGUGGGAUGUGGUAUUAAUGUCAAUGGGAUAAAACACACAGAUAAAAAUAAGUUAAAUACCUUUUUAAGUAUGGAUGAAGAAAGACAGACUACCCUAUAACCAAAAGAAAGGACAGACAAAAGUAUGCCAAACAAUACACACACUAAAAAAUGAACAACACCAAUCAAAUCAAAGACCAAGGAUGAACUCAGGUGAUCCAGGAAGUCGGCACCAAAAGAAAGGACAGACAAAAGUAUACCAAACAAUACACAAACUAAAAAAUGUACAACACCAACCCAAUCAAAUACCAAGGAUGAACUCAGUUGAUCUAGGAAGUCGGAACCAAAAGAAAUGACACACAAAAGUAACUAAAAAACGUACAACACCAACCCAAUCAAAGAAUAAGGAUGAACUCAGGUGAUCCAUAAAGUUGGAACCACAAGAAAUGACAAGACAAAAUUUAACAAAACACUAAACUGAUAACUAAAAAUGUACAACACUUACACCCAACCAGAGGCCAGGGAUGAACUUGGGUGACCCAGGACAGAAGUACUACAAGGAUUGUUUUAUUUACUACCAGGACAGGACAGAAGUGGCUUCUUUUUCUUGUACCACUGAAACUUCACAGAAUAAUUGCGUCUAUUUUGAAGUUGUGUACCUGCUUAUAUGGAAUUGUUUGAGGAAUUUCCCCCCAUUUUUCCUUUAAUUCUGAUCUUGAAAACUGUUUUCCGAAAUUUUUAAAUAUGGUACUGAUUUUGUGUAAUCAACUGCUGCAGUUUUCAAUCUCAUUAUUUUUAACUUCACACAAUGAUUGUUCAAAUAUUUUAAAAGUUGUCCACUUUUUUCCCCGACUUGGGAACUAAGUAAUUUUUCUUCAAAGGUAAAAUAAAUAAUUGUUAACCCAUACCUUUUGGAAUUCACAUCGAGUUUGCAAAUUUAUAGAGGCUUUUACAAAUUUUGGCUACUAUGUACAUGAGUUAAGUAAACCUUAAAAUGAGAUAUUAUUGAUUAAAUAUGCUUCAAAUUCAAAAUAUUAUAAAAAUGUAGAUUCAAUGUGUUUGCUAUUUUACUACACUGUACUUUUUUUCCUACAUUUGUAUAAAUAUUACUACACUGUACUUUUUUUCUGACAUUUGUAUAAAUAUUACUACACUGUACUUUUUUUCUUACAUUUGUAUAAAUAUUACUACACUGUACUUUUUU